AGCGAACGCUGGCGGCAGGCUUAACACAUGCAAGUCGAGCGGGCACUUUCGGGUGUCAGCGGCGGACGGGUGAGUAACGCGUGGGAACGUGCCCUCUGGUUCGGAAUAACUCAGGGAAACUUGAGCUAAUACCGGAUACGCCCUUUUGGGGAAAGGCUUGCUGCCGGAGGAUCGGCCCGCGUCUGAUUAGCUAGUUGGUGAGGUAACGGCUCACCAAGGCGACGAUCAGUAGCUGGUCUGAGAGGAUGAUCAGCCACACUGGGACUGAGACACGGCCCAGACUCCUACGGGAGGCAGCAGUGGGGAAUAUUGGACAAUGGGCGCAAGCCUGAUACAGCCAUGCCGCGUGAGUGAUGAAGGCCUUAGGGUUGUAAAGCUCUUUUAUCCGGGACGAUAAUGACGGUACCGGAGGAAUAAGCCCCGGCUAACUUCGUG
RNAcentral lists this ribosomal RNA (435 nucleotides) under uncultured bacterium. RNAcentral's name for it is "partial 16S ribosomal RNA". It matches the Rfam family "Bacterial small subunit ribosomal RNA", at positions 29 to 507 of the family's 1533-position model. The record is from RNAcentral.